UGUCAAUUAUGUUUUGCCAUGCUAAUACUAACGCAGCAGCCAGGGCCUUAUAGAACUUGUGCUGAGGGCGAAUUAGUUAAAUCUACUUUCUCGGUCGCUCUUCAUUGGGCGA
Hyla sarda is the source of this 112-nucleotide small nucleolar RNA. The record is from RefSeq and is a predicted model, not a curated record. Lineage: Eukaryota; Metazoa; Chordata; Amphibia; Anura; Hylidae.